AGUGAACGCUGGCGGUAGGCCUAACACAUGCCAGUCGAACGGCAGCACAGUAAGAGCUUGCUCUUACGGGUGGCGAGUGGCGGACGGGUGAGGAAUACAUCGGAAUCUACUUUUUCGUGGGGGAUAACGUAGGGAAACUUACGCUAAUACCGCAUACGACCUACGGGUGAAAGCAGGGGAUCUUCGCACCUUGCGCGAUUGAAUGAGCCGCUGUGGGAUUAGCUAGUUGGCGGGGUAAAGGCCCACCAUGGCGACGAUCCGUAGCUGGUCUGAGUGGAUGGUAGGCCACCUUGGAGCGGGACCGGGGACAAGGCUACUACGGGAGGCAGCAGUGGGGAAUAUUGGACAGUGGGGGGAAGCAUGAUACAGCGAUACCGCGUGGGUGAAAGAGGCCUUGGGGUUGUGAAGCCCUUUUGUUGGGAAAGAAAAGCUGCAGGUUAAGACGCAGCUGUACUGACGGUAACCGAUGAAUAAGCACCGGCUAACUACGUG
Molecule: ribosomal RNA, 492 nt
Filed under: uncultured bacterium
Lineage: Bacteria
Description: partial 16S ribosomal RNA
Rfam family: Bacterial small subunit ribosomal RNA
Source: RNAcentral